This is a long non-coding RNA of Cygnus atratus (black swan), 1774 nucleotides long. RefSeq lists it as uncharacterized. The transcript is spliced from 3 exons. The record is from RefSeq and is a predicted model, not a curated record. Lineage: Eukaryota; Metazoa; Chordata; Aves; Anseriformes; Anatidae.
GUGUUAGAGCCUUAUAAGAUUGCCCUAGAUCAUUUCUGAACAACUGUAUUGGUACAGCUGUAAAAAAUAAGGGAGUAAAACCAUAUCUGCAGAUAAUUCCUGUGAUCUAAUCAUCAGUCACAUCAUAGCAAAGUUAAUGCUGCUGUUGCCUUUUUCAACUUCAGAAAAUUGUGUGUUGCUGGACCUAAUAAGAACUGAAAGUGCAGAAGCUAAUAAAUCAACUGAUUAAAGAAGUCAAUGGAAAGAAGAGUGCCAGUGCUGUCAUGAAGGCAGUAGCUAGCACUGGUGGCCUCGUCUUUGUAGCACUGACUAGGAGGAAGCUAUGCUUAUUGCUCACCUUGGUAUUAGUAGCUCCAGGUCUUAGCCUCUACUCAGAUGAAGUCUUAUUUCAUAGGCCUGAGUCUGUUGAGUGGAUGGUCCAAGGCUUCCAUGCCCUGGGAACUCCAGUUUUGGAUUGCGUGUUUUUAAGAAUCGUCUUUAACAUUGGAUCUUUGGAUGUCUCACCUGCCUGGCAACUCCCACUGAGACAGGAGACUCCAAAGUACAACUGUUGUGAGAUGACUCCUCAGUUGAUUUUUGCAUUCUUCUAUAAGGAGUCUUGUGUCUUCAUGCAUGCACUCAGCACAGCAUUUGCUGGUCUACAUUCAACUACACUUGACCAUCGUUUCACCCUUUCUCACAGGCAUUUGAAGAAACAACUUUUGAUCUGUGUCUGUGGGGAAUGGAGGCAAAAUCUUCUCUGUCCUCCUCUCCCCAGUUUGGCUUUCUGUCUUUGCACUGAAGGAAGUUUCUCUUCAGAAGCAGUCCAAGUCUUUUAAAGACUUGUGAUGAGGUUUUCCUGGGAGACCGACCAGGCUUAUGUUAAAGUGCUGUGAUAAUAGUUGAUUGUUAGUAGCAGCAAUCUAAUUGCUCCACCAGGCAGAAAGCAUUCCUGGUUGAGAUACUCUUGAAGGCUAUUUCAACUCCAUAGAUAUCAUCUUGUUUCUACUACAAAAUGGAGCAUGUAACCUGCACUUUAAAUUACAGUGAAAUCCUAUCCACAAACUGGCAGCCAUUCCCCUGACUCUCACACCUUGCUUUUAACAUAUGGGUUGACUGACACCAUCAGAUCAAAUAAUUUUCCAGACUUCUUGCUACAUCCACUGGGCAUCAUUUCUCAUUUAAGAUUCCUGCAGUGAGGCUGUAUCUCCAAUGAUAGUUCAGGUUUUCAUCUGGUGUAAAUUAUCAUAGUUCUAGUCAACUUCAAUGGAUUUGAUAAUUUAUACCAUAUGAGGUUCUGCAUCUGAAAACCAUAUAAUAAAAAGCAGAUGCUAUUUUAACUAAUCUGAAAAAUAAGUGCCUAGUAUUUGCCCAAGCAUAGCUAUUUUAAUACCUGCUACUUACUGCCAGCAGUCAACUGCAUGCUAGAGACUUAAAGUCCUUUGUCCUGUGUCUGAGUAACUGGGAUAGUGUCCUGUAUUUUAUCAAAAUGAAGGUUGAACAGAGACUGCAAAAGCCCUUGACAGCAGCUUUGCUGAGAGACCUGAAAGCCAACACUCCUUUUGCAAAGCCUUUAUACUGACCAUGAUCAUUAUUAUACAUGAUAUUUUAAAGCAGCUGCUUAGCUUUGUCACUUUAAUAUGUUUUCAUUUUGAUUUCUAUAUUCUUCUUCAAGCCACAUGAACAUUGGUUGAUGUUUGGUAUCUAUCUGACCUUGUAAGUAAUAGGAGAUUGCAUGGAUUGCACAUCAACUAUCUAUGUCAAGUAUAUGGUAAGAAUUUGUGAAAUGUUUUAC